AGUGAACGCUGGCGGUAGGCCUAACACAUGCAAGUCGAACGGCAGCGCAGUAAGAGCUUGCUCUUACGGGUGGCGAGUGGCGGACGGGUGAGGAAUACAUCGGAAUCUACUUUUUCGUGGGGGAUAACGUAGGGAAACUUACGCUAAUACCGCAUACGACCUACGGGUGAAAGCAGGGGAUCUUCGGACCUUGCGCGAUUGAAUGAGCCGAUGUCGGAUUAGCUAGUUGGCGGGGUAAAGGCCCACCAAGGCGACGAUCCGUAGCUGGUCUGAGAGGAUGAUCAGCCACACUGGAACUAAGACACGGUCCAGACUCCUACGGGAGGCAGCAGUGGGGAAUAUUGGACAAUGGGCGCAAGCCUGAUCCAGCCAUACCGCGUGGGUGAAGAAGGCCUUCGGGUUGUAAAGCCCUUUUGUUGGGAAAGAAAAGCAGCAGGUUAAUACCCCGCUGUUCUGACGGUACCCAAAGAAUAAGCACCGGCUAACUUCGUG
This 492-nucleotide ribosomal RNA is filed under the name uncultured bacterium. RNAcentral describes it as "partial 16S ribosomal RNA". It matches the Rfam family "Bacterial small subunit ribosomal RNA", at positions 29 to 507 of the family's 1533-position model. The record is from RNAcentral.